Methanococcus voltae A3 is the source of this 115-nucleotide non-coding RNA. The record is from Rfam. NCBI's taxonomy places the organism in Archaea, Methanobacteriati, Methanobacteriota, Methanococci, Methanococcales, Methanococcaceae.
GCCGAGGUGGCUUAGGCUGGUUAUAGCGCUCGGCUCAUACGGAAAAUACUCAGGGAUUUAAUUCCCUGGGUCCUGGGAAACCGAGAGGUCGGGGGUUCGAGUCCCCCCCUCGGCA